CCCAGCUCGUCAUGCUAGAGCACUUUUUCAAUGGGCUCCCGAACGACAAGGCAAUGACGCACUCGUAUGUCAUCCAUAUCAACUUUCAAUGCCAUUUACUGCACCUACCAUGGUGACCACGGGUAACGGGGAAUCAGGGUUCGAUUCCAGAGAGGGAGCCUGAGAAACGGUCACCACCUGCAAGGAAGGCAGCAGGCACGCAAAUGACCCACUCCCGACGUGGGAAGGCAGUGACG
Molecule: non-coding RNA, 236 nt
Organism: Pelobates cultripes (western spadefoot toad)
Lineage: Eukaryota; Metazoa; Chordata; Amphibia; Anura; Pelobatidae
Source: the annotation of a GenBank genome assembly